UACGUAGGAGGCGAGCGUUAUCCGGAUUCACUGGGCGUAAAGCGGGCGUAGGCGGCCUGUUAAGUCCGAUGUGAAAUCUCCCGGCUCAACUGGGAGGGUGCAUCGGAUACUGGCGGGCUGGAGUGCAGCAGAGGGAGAUGGAAUUCCCGGUGUAGUGGUGAAAUGCGUAGAUAUCGGGAAGAACACUAGUGGCGAAGGCGGUCUCCUGGGAUGUAACUGACGCUGAGGUCCGAAGGCGCGGGGAGCAAACAGG
RNAcentral lists this ribosomal RNA (253 nucleotides) under uncultured bacterium. RNAcentral describes it as "partial 16S ribosomal RNA". It matches the Rfam family "Bacterial small subunit ribosomal RNA", at positions 524 to 776 of the family's 1533-position model. The record is from RNAcentral.